AUGAUAGCCACAACAUGCUGGUAUCUGUGGUGGCAGCGGAGAGAAUUCGUCAAAGGGGAGGAGCUGCAAACGCCGGAGAGGAUAGCACCUGCAAUCUUGGCGCUUGCCCUCAACUACGCUCGUGCUGUAGGGAAAGGUCCGACUGUUGCUAAAUUAAACAAGUGGCCAUCUAUCUUACCAGGGCAUCUAGUUCUGAACGUGGACGCAUCCUAUUUUGCUGGGACAAAUUCAGGUGCAUGCGGGGCGGUUGUCAGGGAUCAUAAAGGUCGUUUCAUCACAGCUGCAACAGCAAGACUUGAACACGCCGCUGAUGUUGUCGCGGCAGAAACAGCGGCACUGUUUGAAGGUUUAAAAUUAGCCCUAAGUGUGGGAUGUGCUAAGUUGAUGGUAAGAAUGGAUAACAGUGUUGUGGUGGAUGCAAUAAAGCUAAACGAAGGCCAUUCAAUGGUUGCAGCGCCUUUGUUAGAUGAUUGUCGAAAUAUCUUGGGUGAUUUUGGAAGGUUACUAUUGAGCAUUGCUUUAGAGAGUCAAAUGUAG
RNAcentral lists this ribosomal RNA (537 nucleotides) under Triticum aestivum (bread wheat). RNAcentral describes it as "partial small subunit ribosomal RNA". The record is from RNAcentral. Lineage: Eukaryota; Viridiplantae; Streptophyta; Magnoliopsida; Poales; Poaceae.